UGCCACGAGGGAAACGUUAUUGGGUGCUGGC
Molecule: non-coding RNA, 31 nt
Filed under: Homo sapiens (human)
Lineage: Eukaryota; Metazoa; Chordata; Mammalia; Primates; Hominidae
Source: RNAcentral